RNAcentral lists this small nuclear RNA (301 nucleotides) under Microcebus murinus (gray mouse lemur). Its description in RNAcentral is "7SK RNA (ENSMICG00000022524.3)". It matches the Rfam family "7SK RNA". From Rfam's summary of the family: 7SK was discovered as an abundant small nuclear RNA in the mid-70s but a possible function has only recently been suggested. Two independent studies have found that 7SK RNA binds the CDK9/cyclin T complex (known as elongation factor P-TEFb). The record is from Rfam by way of RNAcentral. Lineage: Eukaryota; Metazoa; Chordata; Mammalia; Primates; Cheirogaleidae.
GGAUGUGAGGGCGAUCUGGCUGUGACAUGUGUCACCCCAUUGAUCACCAGGGUUGAUUCGGCUGAUCUGGCUGGCUAGGCAGCUGUCCCCUUCCUCCCUCACCACUCCAUGUGUGUCCCUCUCAAAGCUGCGCUCUUGGUCAAAGAGGAUGACUUUCCCUGAUAGAGGAGGACCAGUCUUCAGUCAAGGGUAUACGAGUAGCUGCGCUCCCCUGCUAGAACCUCCACACAAGCUAUCAAGAUCUGUGUCAGCUUGGGCAAAGUACCAGGAAAAAUGCAAAGCAGGAAGUGAUGGAUUCUCC